This 497-nucleotide ribosomal RNA is filed under the name uncultured bacterium. Its description in RNAcentral is "partial 16S ribosomal RNA". It matches the Rfam family "Bacterial small subunit ribosomal RNA", at positions 28 to 507 of the family's 1533-position model. The record is from RNAcentral.
GACGAACGCUGGCGGCGUGCCUAAUACAUGCAAGUUGAGCGAUGAAGAUUGGUGCUUGCACCAAUUUGAAGAGCAGCGAACGGGUGAGUAACGCGUGGGGAAUCUGCCUUUGAGCGGGGGACAACAUUUGGAAACGAAUGCUAAUACCGCAUAAUAACUUUAAACAUAAGUUUUAAGUUUGAAAGAUGCAAUUGCAUCACUCAAAGAUGAUCCCGCGUUGUAUUAGUUAGUUGGUGAGGUAAAGGCUCACCAAGGCGAUGAUACAUAGCCGACCUGAGAGGGUGAUCGGCCACAUUGGGACUGAGACACGGCCCAAACUCCUACGGGAGGCAGCAGUAGGGAAUCUUCGGCAAUGGACGAAAGUCUGACCGAGCAACGCCGCGUGAGUGAAGAAGGUUUUCGGAUCGUAAAACUCUGUUGGUAGAGAAGAACGUUGGUGAGAGUGGAAAGCUCAUCAAGUGACGGUAACUACCCAGAAAGGGACGGCUAACUACGUG